GACAGAGGGGGCAAGCGUUGCUCGGAAUUACUGGGCGUAAAGGGCGCGUAGGCGGGAUGGCAAGUCGGUCGUGAAAUGCCUCGGCUCAACUGAGGAUCGUCGAUCGAUACUGCCGUUCUUGAGGAUUGCAGAGGAGACUGGAAUUCCCGGUGUAGCGGUGAAAUGUGUAGAGAUCGGGAGGAAUACCGGUGGCGAAGGCGGCAUCCUGGACCGGCAUUGACGCUGAGGAGCGAAAGCAUGGGGAGCGAACAGGA
RNAcentral lists this ribosomal RNA (254 nucleotides) under uncultured bacterium. RNAcentral's name for it is "partial 16S ribosomal RNA". It matches the Rfam family "Bacterial small subunit ribosomal RNA", at positions 524 to 777 of the family's 1533-position model. The record is from RNAcentral.